GGUAGCACAGAGAGCUUGCUCUCGGGUGACGAGUGGCGGACGGGUGAGUAAUGUCUGGGAAACUGCCUGAUGGUGGGGGAUAACUACUGGAAACGGUAGCUAAUACCGCAUAAUGUCGCAAGACCAAAGAGGGGGACCUUCGGGCCUCUUACCAUCAGAUGUGCCCAGAUGGGAUUAGCUAGUAGGUGGGGUAACGGCUCACCUAGGCGACGAUCCCUAGCUGGUCUGAGAGGAUGACCAGCCACACUGGAACUGAGACACGGUCCAGACUCCUACGGGAGGCAGCAGUGGGGAAUAUUGCACAAUGGGCGCAAGCCUGAUGCAGCCAUGCCGCGUGUAUGAAGAAGGCCUUCGGGUUGUAAAGUACUUUCAGCGGGGAGGAAGGGAAUGUGGUUAAUAACCAUAUUCAUUGACGUUACCCGCAGAAGAAGCACCGGCUAACUCCGUGCCAGCAGCCGCGGUAAUACGGAGGGUGCAAGCGUUAAUCGGAAUUACUGGGCGUAAAGCGCACGCAGGCGGUCUGUCAAGUCGGAUGUGAAAUCCCCGGGCUCAACCUGGGAACUGCAUUCGAAACUGGCAGGCUAGAGUCUUGUAGAGGGGGGUAGAAUUCCAGGUGUAGCGGUGAAAUGCGUAGAGAUCUGGAGGAAUACCGGUGGCGAAGGCGGCCCCCUGGACAAAGACUGACGCUCAGGUGCGAAAGCGUGGGGAGCAAACAGGAUUAGAUACCCUGGUAGUCCACGCUGUAAACGAUGUCGACUUGGAGGUUGUGCCCUUGAGGCGUGGCUUCCGGAGCUAACGCGUUAAGUCGACCGCCUGGGGAGUACGGCCGCAAGGUUAAAACUCAAAUGAAUUGACGGGGGCCCGCACAAGCGGUGGAGCAUGUGGUUUAAUUCGAUGCAACGCGAAGAACCUUACCUACUCUUGACAUCCACAGAAUCUGGCAGAGAUGCCAGAGUGCCUUCGGGAACUCUGAGACAGGUGCUGCAUGGCUGUCGUCAGCUCGUGUUGUGAAAUGUUGGGUUAAGUCCCGCAACGAGCGCAACCCUUAUCCUUUGUUGCCAGCGGUCCGGCCGGGAACA
Molecule: ribosomal RNA, 1079 nt
Filed under: bacterium
Lineage: Bacteria
Description: bacterial SSU rRNA
Rfam family: Bacterial small subunit ribosomal RNA
Source: RNAcentral